CAGGACGAACGCUGGCGGCGUGCCUAACACAUGCAAGUCGAGCGAGGAGAUCCUUCGGGAUGAUCCUAGCGGCGGACGGGUGAGUAACACGUGGGCAACCUGCCUCAUAGAGAGGAAUAGCCUUCCGAAAGGGAGAUUAAUACCUCAUAACAUUGCAGUUUCGCAUGGAACAGCAAUUAAAGGAGUAAUCCGCUAUGAGAUGGGCCCGCGGCGCAUUAGCUAGUUGGUGAGGUAACGGCUCACCAAGGCGACGAUGCGUAGCCGACCUGAGAGGGUGAUCGGCCACAUUGGGACUGAGACACGGCCCAGACUCCUACGGGAGGCAGCAGUGGGGAAUAUUGCACAAUGGGGGAAACCCUGAUGCAAGCAACGCCGCGUGAGUGAUGACGGCCUUCGGGUUGUAAAGCUCUGUCUUCGGGGACGAUAAUGACGGUACCUGAGGAGGAAGCCACGGCUAACUACGUGCCAGCAGCUGC
Molecule: ribosomal RNA, 476 nt
Filed under: uncultured bacterium
Lineage: Bacteria
Description: bacterial SSU rRNA
Rfam family: Bacterial small subunit ribosomal RNA
Source: RNAcentral